RNAcentral lists this transfer RNA (72 nucleotides) under Pseudomonadota bacterium. RNAcentral describes it as "tRNA-Glu". It matches the Rfam family "tRNA". Rfam says of the family: Transfer RNA (tRNA) molecules are approximately 80 nucleotides in length. Their secondary structure includes four short double-helical elements and three loops (D, anti-codon, and T loops). Lineage: Bacteria; Pseudomonadati; Pseudomonadota. The record is from RNAcentral. RNAcentral also lists the same sequence under 1 other name.
GGCCCCAUCGUCUAGCGGUUAGGACGUGGCCCUCUCAAGGCCAAAGCAGGGGUUCGAUUCCCCUUGGGGCUA